UAGAAGAAGUAGGAGGGACGAGACUAUGAUAGUUAUGAGCCGGGAUAAGCUUGGUACUACCUUUUUGUUUUUUUGUAGUUGAAGAAUAAUCGAUAGUUUCUGAAUAAUGUCAAGUAAAAUUUUGGAAUGAAAAAGAUAUUUAAUAUUUUAUAUGAAGUGUGGAAUUUAUUUUGGAUGAAUACAGUGGACAAUUGGAAGUAAUGGUAAAAAAUAGAUAUGAAUGGAAGAAUUAUAAUACUGAGGUUUGAGAAGGAGUCUUUGGAGUCUAGAUUUGUGUAAAGAAGUGUAG
This 289-nucleotide long non-coding RNA is filed under the name Physcomitrium patens. RNAcentral's name for it is "long non-coding RNA (PPAT_LNC013105)". The record is from RNAcentral. Lineage: Eukaryota; Viridiplantae; Streptophyta; Bryopsida; Funariales; Funariaceae.